GCUCGCGUAGCUCAAAGCACAGAGCACGGCGCUUCUAACGCCGGCGAUGGAGGUGAGAGUCCUCCCGCGAGCGCCA
This 76-nucleotide transfer RNA is filed under the name Limisphaerales bacterium. RNAcentral's name for it is "Verrucomicrobia subdivision 3 bacterium (sediment metagenome) tRNA-Arg". It matches the Rfam family "tRNA". Rfam says of the family: Transfer RNA (tRNA) molecules are approximately 80 nucleotides in length. Their secondary structure includes four short double-helical elements and three loops (D, anti-codon, and T loops). The record is from RNAcentral. Lineage: Bacteria; Pseudomonadati; Verrucomicrobiota; Verrucomicrobiia; Limisphaerales.